UACGGAGGGAGCUAGCGUUGUUCGGAAAUACUGGGCGUAAAGCGCACGUAGGCGGCGCAGCAAGUCAGGGGUGAAAUCCCGGGGCUCAACCCCGGAACUGCCCUUGAAACUGCAGUGCUAGAAUUCUGGAGAGGCGAGUGGAAUUCCGAGUGUAGAGGUGAAAUUCGUAGAUAUUCGGAAGAACACCAGUGGCGAAGGCGACUCGCUGGACAGACAUUGACGCUGAGGUGCGAAAGCGUGGGGAGCAAACAGGAUUAGAAACCCCCGUAGUCC
RNAcentral lists this ribosomal RNA (273 nucleotides) under uncultured bacterium. Its description in RNAcentral is "partial 16S ribosomal RNA". It matches the Rfam family "Bacterial small subunit ribosomal RNA", at positions 524 to 796 of the family's 1533-position model. The record is from RNAcentral.